UACGAAGGGGGCUAGCGUUGUUCGGAAUUACUGGGCGUAAAGCGCGCGCAGGCGGUCUUCCAAGUCAGUGGUGAAAGCCCGGAGCUCAACUCCGGAACUGCCAUUGAAACUGUUAGACUUGAGGAUGAGAGAGGUGAGUGGAAUUCCCAGUGUAGAGGUGAAAUUCGUAGAUAUUGGGAAGAACACCGGUGGCGAAGGCGGCAACCUGGUCCUUGACUGGACGCUGAGGCGCGAAAGCGUGGGGAGCAAACAGG
This 254-nucleotide ribosomal RNA is filed under the name uncultured bacterium. RNAcentral describes it as "partial 16S ribosomal RNA". It matches the Rfam family "Bacterial small subunit ribosomal RNA", at positions 524 to 776 of the family's 1533-position model. The record is from RNAcentral.